RNAcentral lists this ribosomal RNA (465 nucleotides) under Vreelandella stevensii. RNAcentral's name for it is "partial 16S ribosomal RNA". It matches the Rfam family "Bacterial small subunit ribosomal RNA", at positions 338 to 795 of the family's 1533-position model. Lineage: Bacteria; Pseudomonadati; Pseudomonadota; Gammaproteobacteria; Oceanospirillales; Halomonadaceae. The record is from RNAcentral.
CAUACGGGCGGCAGCAGUGGGGAAUAUUGGACAAUGGGGGGAACCCUGAUCCAGCCAUGCCGCGUGUGUGAAGAAGGCCCUCGGGUUGUAAAGCACUUUCAGUGAGGAAGAACGCCUGGUGGUUAAUACCCAUCAGGAAAGACAUCACUCACAGAAGAAGCACCGGCUAACUCCGUGCCAGCAGCCGCGGUAAUACGGAGGGUGCGAGCGUUAAUCGGAAUUACUGGGCGUAAAGCGCGCGUAGGUGGCUUGAUAAGCCGGUUGUGAAAGCCCCGGGCUCAACCUGGGAACGGCAUCCGGAACUGUCAAGCUAGAGUGCAGGAGAGGAAGGUAGAAUUCCCGGUGUAGCGGUGAAAUGCGUAGAGAUCGGGAGGAAUACCAGUGGCGAAGGCGGCCUUCUGGACUGACACUGACACUGAGGUGCGAAAGCGUGGGUAGCAAACAGGAUUAGAUACCCUAGUAGUC